Molecule: long non-coding RNA, 1002 nt
Organism: Lathyrus oleraceus (garden pea)
Lineage: Eukaryota; Viridiplantae; Streptophyta; Magnoliopsida; Fabales; Fabaceae
Exons: 2
Source: RefSeq, a predicted model, not a curated record
UGUUGUUUUGUGAGGUCAGUUAUGUUUGGUAAACCAACCAGAGGUUCAUGUGGAGACUCCAUUCUUGUUUGUGUUUUCAAAUUUCAGAACUGGGAUGUAGUGGAGACGGUUUCGAUUUCUAAUCGGUAAUGUGUGCAUCCACAUGUGCCCUAUCAAGCCCACGACUAGGGUUUGAGACUGAUCAGUCACCAUUUAUGCUAGACAUUUCACUAUUUAACCGUAAAUAAGUCAGGUAAACUGUGUAAACUGAAGCAUUUUUAGUUAGAUAUAAGCUCAAUUCUAUAAUAUUAAGUGUGUUGUUACUUAUGAGUUUCUUGAGGAUAUUUUACACUUUUUGGUAUGUUAGCAGGUAAAAAACUAGUUUGGAAGCUCAGGGAAUCAAACGUCAGAUGCGAAAUGGAGCCCGAGCAAGAAAACAGAAGAAAAAAUCAAAUUUUGGAGAACCUGCUGCCCAUACGCGUAUGGACCUGCCCAGUACGCGUAGCAUACGUAUAUGACCAGAGGGAUGGAAAAUCAAGCAAAAUAGCAAGCCUCUGGUGAUACGUGUAAGCCUCUGGUGAUACGCGUACCAGCCUGGGCAAUACGCGUACCAGCCUGGGCAAUACGCGUAUCAGAGGCUGUCUUACGUGCACUACGCGUUUGAGACUAGGCAGUACGCGUAUGAGACUGGGCAAUACGCGUAUGGAGCACAAAAUCAGGAAAAUUCCAACUGUAUACCUAUUUAGAGGGCAAAACACGAUUUUCCAGGGGUUGGACGAUUUUUAGAGAAAAAGAGACGCGUUUGAGACCUGGAGACUCCACGUUUAUCAGAGGAUUCAUAUGUUCAAGAGUUUUCCGACGAUUGAAGAUUGAUUCCUCACGAAAUUCUGUAAUGACAACAAUGUUAAUCUUUGUUUUUAUUUUGAUUAUGAGUAGCUAAACCCCUCAUUGCUAGGGGGGUGACCCUGAUUCUGAAUGUGACAGAUUUUAUGUUUAUGAGUGCAUUGACUAUUUCUUCUUUUC